Long non-coding RNA from Rhinolophus ferrumequinum (greater horseshoe bat), 955 nucleotides. RefSeq lists it as uncharacterized. The record is from RefSeq and is a predicted model, not a curated record. The transcript is spliced from 3 exons. Lineage: Eukaryota; Metazoa; Chordata; Mammalia; Chiroptera; Rhinolophidae.
CCUCUUUUUUUUAUUCAUCGUUUGGUCUCAUUUUUUCCCCUGCUCAUUCACAAUAUCCCCCUCUUCUAAAAGACUAUCUUGAACUUGAGAGUCCCAUGAAGCUUGAUCAGCUUCUAAGAGAAAGUAAUAAAUAGCCUUUCUCCCUGGUUUUCCCUAAGCACUCUGUCCAGUGCCAGCAAACGGCUGGGUUGCUUGGAGAGGCGGAGGGCUGCGGGGCAGGGGCGGAGAAGGCCGCCCACCGCCGGCACCGAGCGCGCCCAGCUUCCUGGCCCAAGAAUGUGGGGUUGCUUUUCCCCAGCAUGAAACAGGGAUCAAGAACCCCUGGGAGUUCGCUUCCAUCUCUGCCGCUCGGACGCGUCCUGGGGCUGGACGCCAAUUACUUCAUCUUUGCCAUCCCCAGCACCCUCGGAGAAGUGGGGCUUGUAUUCUUAGUUGAAACUCGUCGAGACGCAUGCCCUUAAAUGGAUUGGGAAAAGCCUGGAAGAUGCUUCUGUCAAGUACUGCCUUUGGAAUACAAUCCAUCAGGAAGAAAAAGGAGAAUCUUUUUUUUUUCUCCUUUUCUCCCAUUUUCCCAGAUGUGAGAGGCCUAAGGAUCCUAAGCAAAAGCUGGAGAUGCAGGCAGCUCCAAACCAACUAGCCACUAGACAAGCUGAGAGUCCGCCCGUGUCUUCUUCUCCACUGCUUUGGUGUGCUGCUUCUAGUCCAGAGGGGCUGCUAGGCCCAGGCAGAAGCUAGAACCCAUGACUACCCUCCUCCAACCCCUGGCGAGUUCUGCUCUGGAACUGUUUCUGGUUCUAUGUGCAGAAUCAGUCAGGACCUAAAGAAUCUAACCAAGAGGUCCUGGUAAUACGAACUCUCACAAGGAAAGGGUUAGCUCUUAAUCUUUUUCCCCCCAAGAGGUUCCUUGAGCCAGUACAGAUUUACACCCCUCUUUCCACUACUGAGGGGCUAUUAA